RNAcentral lists this ribosomal RNA (496 nucleotides) under uncultured bacterium. Its description in RNAcentral is "partial 16S ribosomal RNA". It matches the Rfam family "Bacterial small subunit ribosomal RNA", at positions 29 to 507 of the family's 1533-position model. The record is from RNAcentral.
AUGAACGCUGGCGGCGUGCCUAAUCCAUGCAAGUCGAGCGAACAGACGAGGAGCUUGCUCCUCUGACGUUAGCGGCGGACGGGUGAGUAACACGUGGAUAACCUACCUAUAAGACUGGGAUAACUUCGGGAAACCGGAGCUAAUACCGGAUAAUAUAUUGAACCGCAUGGUUCAAUAGUGAAAGACGGUUUUGCUGUCACUUAUAGAUGGAUCCGCGCCGCAUUAGCUAGUUGGUAAGGUAACGGCUUACCAAGGCAACGAUGCGUAGCCGACCUGAGAGGGUGAUCGGCCACACUGGAGCUGAGACACGGUCCAGACUCCUACGAGAGGCAGCAGUAGGGAAUCUUCCGCAAUGGGCGAAAGCUUGACGGAGCAACGCCGCGUGAGUGAUGAAGGUCUUCGGAUCGUAAAACUCUGUUAUUAGGGAAGAACAAAUGUGUAAGUAACUAUGCACGUCUUGACGGUACCUAAUCAGAAAGCCACGGCUAACUACGUG